RNAcentral lists this ribosomal RNA (261 nucleotides) under uncultured archaeon. RNAcentral describes it as "partial 16S ribosomal RNA". It matches the Rfam family "Archaeal small subunit ribosomal RNA", at positions 748 to 1009 of the family's 1478-position model. The record is from RNAcentral.
UAGCCGUAAACGAUACUCGCUAGGUGUCGGCCACGGUGCGACCGUUGUCGGUGCCGUAGGGAAGCCGUGAAGCGAGCCACCUGGGAAGUACGGCCGCAAGGCUGAAACUUAAAGGAAUUGGCGGGGGAGCACCACAACGGGUGGAGCUUGCGGUUUAAUUGGACUCAACGCCGGACAACUCACCGGGAACGACAGCAAUAUGUAGGCCAGGCUGAAGACCUUGCCUGAAUCGCUGAGAGGAGGUGCAUGGCGUAGACGUCU